Molecule: ribosomal RNA, 865 nt
Filed under: uncultured bacterium
Lineage: Bacteria
Description: bacterial SSU rRNA
Rfam family: Bacterial small subunit ribosomal RNA
Source: RNAcentral
GAUGAACGCUGGCGGCGUGCCUAACACAUGCAAGUCGAGCGAUGAGGCCCCUUCGGGGGUACAUCAGCGGCGAGCGGGUGAGUAACACGUAGGUGACCUGCCCCGAAGAGGGGGAUAACCAUUGGAAACGAUGGCUAAUACCCCAUAUGGUCGGCGAUUCGGUUCGCCGAUGAAAGUUUCGGCGCUUCGGGAUGGGCCUGCGGCCUAUCAGCUAGUUGGUAGGGUAAUGGCCUACCAAGGCUUACGGGUAGCUGGUCUGAGAGGACGAUCAGCCACAUGGGCACUGAGACACGGGCCCGACUCCUACGGGAGGCAGCAGUGAGGGAUCUUGCGCAAUGGGCGAAAGCCUGACGCAGCAACGCCGCGUGGGGGAAGAAGGCCUUCGGGUUGUGAACCCCCUUUCUGAGGGAAGAGGAAGGACGGUACCUCAGGAAUAAGCCCCGGCUAACUACGUGCCAGCAGCCGCGGUAAAACGUAGGGGGCGAGCGUUAUCCGGAUUCACUGGGCGUAAAGCGCGCGCAGGGCGGCCUGGCAAGUCGGACGUGAAAGCUCCAGGCUCAACUUGGAGAGGCCAUUCGACACUGCCGGGCUUGAGGGCGGGAGAGGGAGGUGGAAUUCCCGGUGUAGUGGUGAAAUGCGUAGAUAUCGGGAGGAACACCAGUGGCGAAGGCGGCCUCCUGGCCCGCUCCUGACGCUGAGGCGCGAAAGCUAGGGGAGCGAACGGGAUUAGAUACCCCGGUAGUCCUAGCCGUAAACGAUGGAUACUAGAUGUUGGCUGUAUUACCCAGUCAGUGUCGAAGCUAACGCGAUAAGUAUCCCGCCUGGGGACUACGAGCGCAAGCUUAAAACUCAAAGGAAUUGACGC